This 74-nucleotide transfer RNA is filed under the name Candidatus Woesebacteria bacterium. RNAcentral's name for it is "tRNA-Arg". It matches the Rfam family "tRNA". From Rfam's summary of the family: Transfer RNA (tRNA) molecules are approximately 80 nucleotides in length. Their secondary structure includes four short double-helical elements and three loops (D, anti-codon, and T loops). Further hydrogen bonds mediate the characteristic L-shaped molecular structure. tRNAs have two regions of fundamental functional importance: the anti-codon, which is responsible for specific mRNA codon recognition, and the 3' end, to which the tRNAs corresponding amino acid is attached (by aminoacyl-tRNA synthetases). tRNAs cope with the degeneracy of the genetic code in two manners: having more than one tRNA (with a specific anti-codon) for a particular amino acid; and 'wobble' base-pairing, i.e. permitting non-standard base-pairing at the 3rd anti-codon position. The record is from RNAcentral. Lineage: Bacteria; Candidatus Woeseibacteriota.
GCACCCAUAGCUCAGCUGGAUAGAGCGUCUGCUUGCGGAGCAGAAGGUCAUGCGUUCGAAUCGCAUUGGGUGCA